This 208-nucleotide ribosomal RNA is filed under the name uncultured bacterium. RNAcentral's name for it is "partial 16S ribosomal RNA". It matches the Rfam family "Bacterial small subunit ribosomal RNA", at positions 568 to 775 of the family's 1533-position model. The record is from RNAcentral.
CACGCAGGCGGUCUAUUAAGUCAGAUGUGAAAGUUUGCAGCUUAACUGUAAAAGUGCAUCUGAUACUGGCAGACUUGAGUCUCGGAGAGGUAAGCGGAAUUCCUAGUGUAGCGGUGAAAUGCGUAGAGAUUAGGAAGAACACCGGUGGCGAAGGCGGCUUACUGGACGAGUACUGACGCUCAGGUGCGAAAGCGUGGGGAGCAAACAG